CCUAAUACAUGCAAGUCGAGCGAACGGACGAGAAGCUUGCUUCUCUGAUGUUAGCGGCGGACGGGUGAGUAACACGUGGAUAACCUACCUAUAAGACUGGGAUAACUUCGGGAAACCGGAGCUAAUACCGGAUAAUAUUUUGAACCGCAUGGUUCAAAAGUGAAAGACGGUCUUGCUGUCACUUAUAGAUGGAUCCGCGCUGCAUUAGCUAGUUGGUAAGGUAACGGCUUACCAAGGCAACGAUGCAUAGCCGACCUGAGAGGGUGAUCGGCCACACUGGAACUGAGACACGGUCCAGACUCCUACGGGAGGCAGCAGUAGGGAAUCUUCCGCAAUGGGCGAAAGCCUGACGGAGCAACGCCGCGUGAGUGAUGAAGGUCUUCGGAUCGUAAAACUCUGUUAUUAGGGAAGAACAUAUGUGUAAGUAACUGUGCACAUCUUGACGGUACCUAAUCAGAAAGCCACGGCUAACUACGUGCCAGCAGCCGCGGUAAUACGUAGGUGGCAAGCGUUAUCCGGAAUUAUUGGGCGUAAAGCGCGCGUAGGCGGUUUUUUAAGUCUGAUGUGAAAGCCCACGGCUCAACCGUGGAGGGUCAUUGGAAACUGGAAAACUUGAGUGCAGAAGAGGAAAGUGGAAUUCCAUGUGUAGCGGUGAAAUGCGCAGAGAUAUGGAGGAACACCAGUGGCGAAGGCGACUUUCUGGUCUGUAACUGACGCUGAUGUGCGAAAGCGUGGGGAUCAAACAGGAUUAGAUACCCUGGUAGUCCACGCCGUAAACGAUGAGUGCUAAGUGUUAGGGGGUUUCCGCCCCUUAGUGCUGCAGCUAACGCAUUAAGCACUCCGCCUGGGGAGUACGACCGCAAGGUUGAAACUCAAAGGAAUUGACGGGGACCCGCACAAGCGGUGGAGCAUGUGGUUUAAUUCGAAGCAACGCGAAGAACCUUACCAAAUCUUGACAUCCUUUGACAACUCUAGAGA
This 978-nucleotide ribosomal RNA is filed under the name Staphylococcus aureus. Its description in RNAcentral is "bacterial SSU rRNA". It matches the Rfam family "Bacterial small subunit ribosomal RNA", at positions 47 to 1006 of the family's 1533-position model. Lineage: Bacteria; Bacillati; Bacillota; Bacilli; Caryophanales; Staphylococcaceae. The record is from RNAcentral.